AACCAAAACUUCUAGUCAGGAUGUUUUCCAUUCCACAAGGGAUACAUGAAUCAACGAAAGUGUCUGUUAAAGUUUUGGGAGAUUAAUACUGCUCGCGUUCUUCUUUAGCAUCCGUUUUGGAUGCACCUUGAGGAACAAGGUGGGUAAUUUUCGUUUUGAAGAUAUGCCACCGACUUAUAGAGCAGAGAGGCACCUAUGAGUUGAGUUCAGGACUACGGUUUUUGACUGCGGAUACUUCCUGGACUCGUAGUAAGGAGCCUCACAACU
Molecule: small nucleolar RNA, 267 nt
Rfam family: Small nucleolar RNA snR191